This 446-nucleotide long non-coding RNA is filed under the name Chinchilla lanigera (long-tailed chinchilla). RNAcentral describes it as "lncRNA (ENSCLAG00000025676.1)". The record is from RNAcentral. Lineage: Eukaryota; Metazoa; Chordata; Mammalia; Rodentia; Chinchillidae.
CAGGAACCAAAGAGGGCACUGAGAGAGAUCAAAACAAGACAAAUUGUUUAGACAUCAGGAAUGGGAAAAGCAGUGAGAACGGAGGUAUUUGUAGGGCUCCUGGAUUAACAAUAUUAAUAAUACUAGGAGUUACAUUCAUUAACUGUUUAACCUGUGCCAGAUACUGACAAGUGCUUUCAUUGCAUGAGUGGCAAGCGGAAACACCAAAAUGGUACCCAUAAUUUGGAGGCAGAUUUAUUUACAUUGCCAUAUUGAGCCACCCGCAAUUCUCCUGAGAUCACCGCAGUCUUACCUCUGUCUUCGCUGUGCCUGAUACAGUCUUGAAAGUGCAUCCAUCAAUUUUCAGAUCAAAGGGUUACUAGGAAGAUCUAUUCUCCAUUACAAUUACCUGUUGUUCUGACAUUAUCCACAUACUAUCUUUUUACUAAAAUAGAAAUGCUUUGAAG